This 484-nucleotide ribosomal RNA is filed under the name uncultured bacterium. RNAcentral describes it as "partial 16S ribosomal RNA". It matches the Rfam family "Bacterial small subunit ribosomal RNA", at positions 29 to 507 of the family's 1533-position model. The record is from RNAcentral.
AUUGAACGCUGGCGGCAGGCCUAACACAUGCAAGUCGAGCGGAUGAAGGGAGCUUGCUCCUGGAUUCAGCGGCGGACGGGGAGGAAAGUCUAAGGAAUAUCCCCGGUGGGGGGGACUAAGGUCGGGAAGGGGGGCCAAAUCCGGAAAAGGCCUGGAGGGAGAAAGGGGGGGUUCUUGGGACACAGCCCUUUAAGAGGACCCCAGGUCGAAUUAGCUAGUUGGUGGGGCAAGGGCCUACCAAGGCAACGAUCCGAAGCUGGUCUGAGAGGAUGAUCGGUCACACUGGAACUGAGACACGGUCCAGACUCCUACGGGAGGCAGCAGUGGGGAAUAUUCGACAAUGGGCGAAAGCCUGAUCCAGCCAUGCCGCGUGUGUGAAGAAGGUCUUCGGAUUGUAAAGCACUUUAAGUUGGGAGGAAGAGCAGUAAGAUAAUACCUUGCUGUUUUGACGUUACCAACAGAAUAAGCACCGGCUAACUUCGUG